GACGAACGCUGGCGGCGUGCCUAAUACAUGCAAGUAGAACGCACAGUUUAUACCGUAGCUUGCUACACCAUAGACUGUGAGUUGCGAACGGGUGAGUAACGCGUAGGUAACCUGCCUGGUAGCGGGGGAUAACUAUUGGAAACGAUAGCUAAUACCGCAUAAUAUUGAUUAUUGCAUGAUAAUUGAUUGAAAGAUGCUAUUGCAUCACUACCAGAUGGACCUGCGUUGUAUUAGCUAGUAGGUGAGGUAACGGCUCACCUAGGCGACGAUACAUAGCCGACCUAGGAGGGUGAUCGGCCACACUGGGACUGAGACACGGCCCAGACUCCUACGGGUGGCAGCAGUAGGGAAUCUUCGGCAAUGGACGAAAGUCUGAACGAGCAACGCCGCGUGAGUGAAGAAGGUUUUCGGAUCGUAAAGCUCUGUUGUAAGAGAAGAACGGGUGUGAGAGUGGAAAGUUCACACUGUGACGGUAUCUUACCAGAAAGGGACGGCUAACUACGUG
This 505-nucleotide ribosomal RNA is filed under the name uncultured bacterium. RNAcentral describes it as "partial 16S ribosomal RNA". It matches the Rfam family "Bacterial small subunit ribosomal RNA", at positions 28 to 507 of the family's 1533-position model. The record is from RNAcentral.